RNAcentral lists this long non-coding RNA (453 nucleotides) under Homo sapiens (human). RNAcentral describes it as "HSALNT0021324". The record is from RNAcentral. Lineage: Eukaryota; Metazoa; Chordata; Mammalia; Primates; Hominidae.
ACCUCUUCCACCUCUGCCACCACUGAGGCAGCAAGACCAACCCCUCUUCUUCCUCCUCCUCAGCUUACUCAAGGUGAAGACAAGGAUGAAGCGUUUUAUGAUGAUCACUUCUACUUAAUGAAUAUGAGCUGCCAUGUUAGAGAGGCCCACAUGGCCAGGAACUGAGGGUGGCCUCCGCCAACAGCCGACCAGGAACUGAAGCCCUUGGUCCAGCAGCCUGUAAGAAACUGAAUCCUGCCACCAACUGCUUAGAAGCGGAUCAGUGCCCAGUUGAACCUUGACUGCAGCUGGGUAAGUCUCCCAGCGAAGCCAUGCCCGGAUUCCCAACACACAGAAACUGGGAGAUCAUACACGCGUGUGGUUUGAAACCACUAAAUGUUGGGGUAAUCUGUUACAAAGCAAUAGAUACUGAAUUCAACUCUGAUAAUAAAAGUCCCAUUACAUAAAAAGCAG